RNAcentral lists this ribosomal RNA (484 nucleotides) under uncultured bacterium. Its description in RNAcentral is "partial 16S ribosomal RNA". It matches the Rfam family "Bacterial small subunit ribosomal RNA", at positions 30 to 507 of the family's 1533-position model. The record is from RNAcentral.
AUUGAACGCUGGCGGCAGGCCUAACACAUGCAAGUCGAGCGGAUGAAGGGAGCUUGCUCCUGGAUUCAGCGGCGGACGGGUGAGUAAUGCCUAGGAAUCUGCCUGGUAGUGGGGGAUAACGUCCGGAAACGGGCGCUAAUACCGCAUACGUCCUGAGGGAGAAAGUGGGGGAUCUUCGGACCUCACGCUAUCAGAUGAGCCUAGGUCGGAUUAGCUAGUUGGUGGGGUAAAGGCCUACCAAGGCGACGAUCCGUAACUGGUCUGAGAGGAUGAUCAGUCACACUGGAACUGAGACACGGUCAAGACUCCUAAGGGAGGCAGCAGUGGGGAAUAUUGGACAAUGGGCGAAAGCAUGAUCCAGCCAUGCCGCGUGUGUGAAGAAGGUCUUCGGAUUGUAAAGCACUUUAAGUUGGGAGGAAGGGCAGUAAGUUAAUACCUUGCUGUUUUGACGUUACCAACAGAAUAAGCACCGGCUAACUUCGUG